Small nucleolar RNA from Tripterygium wilfordii, 108 nucleotides. NCBI's taxonomy places the organism in Eukaryota, Viridiplantae, Streptophyta, Magnoliopsida, Celastrales, Celastraceae. The record is from RefSeq and is a predicted model, not a curated record.
AUCAAAAAAUCGAUAAACAGCUCAUCUGAUUAAUGGGAGGCCAAAAGCAAUGCUGGGUGGUUCUGCUGACUUGAAGUGUCUAUUAGUUAGUAACUUUUCCAUAUAUGA